UACACUCCUGCGGGAGGCAGCAGUGGGGAAUUUUGGACAAUGGGCGAAAGCCUGAUCCAGCAAUGCCGCGAGAGUGAAGAAGGCCUUCGGGUUGUAAAGCUCUUUUGUCAGGGAAGAAACGGUGAAAGCUAAUAUCUUUUGCUAAUGACGGUACCUGAAGAAUAAGCACCGGCUAACUACGUGCCAGCAGCCGCGGUAAUACGUAGGGUGCAAGCGUUAAUCGGAAUUACUGGGCGUAAAGCGUGCGCAGGCGGUUUUGUAAGUCUGAUGUGAAAUCCCCGGGCUCAACCUGGGAAUUGCAUUGGAGACUGCAAGGCUAGAAUCUGGCAGAGGGGGGUAGAAUUCCACGUGUAGCAGUGAAAUGCGUAGAUAUGUGGAGGAACACCGAUGGCGAAGGCAGCCCCCUGGGUCAAGAUUGACGCUCAUGCACGAAAGCGUGGGGAGCAAACAGGAUUAGAAACCCGUGUAGUCCCAU
RNAcentral lists this ribosomal RNA (475 nucleotides) under uncultured organism. RNAcentral describes it as "partial 16S ribosomal RNA". It matches the Rfam family "Bacterial small subunit ribosomal RNA", at positions 332 to 798 of the family's 1533-position model. The record is from RNAcentral.